CUAGAGAAAGAGAAGUAGAUUCAAGUCUUGAAUUUGUUUGGUUUUAGUGCUCACACUUAUCGGUUUGUUUAGACGCGAAGAUACAAGCAGCAAGAAGAGAGGGCCUUUAAGUGCGGAACGAAAGAACUGUCUAGAGGUCAGGGCCCUGGGGCUGAAAAGUCUACGGGGUCUGUAGCUCAGUUGGUUAGAGCACCGUCUUGAUAAGGCGGGGGUCGAUGGUUUCGAGCCCAUCCAGACCCCACCAUUGGGUUUGAAGUUGUUGUAAAACACCCUGGGGGGUGUAGCUCAACUGGGAAAAGCACCUGCUUUGCAAGCAGGGGGGUCAUCGGUUCGAAUCCCUUUCCCCCUCCCCAAAUUUUUAAUUGCUGCAAGAAAACGUGAAAUUUUGUAUCCAAGUGGUUUGAAAAAAAUGGUCCUUUUGAAAUAAAAAAAAUUGGA
RNAcentral lists this unclassified non-coding RNA (438 nucleotides) under uncultured Gammaproteobacteria bacterium. RNAcentral's name for it is "partial 16S-23S ribosomal RNA intergenic spacer". The stretch from base 166 to 240 matches the Rfam family "tRNA". The record is from RNAcentral. Lineage: Bacteria; Pseudomonadati; Pseudomonadota; Gammaproteobacteria.